CAGAGGGUGCAAGCGUUGUUCGGAAUUAUUGGGCGUAAAGCGAGUGUAGGCGGUUAUCUAAGUCUGGUGUGAAAGCCCAGGGCUCAACCCUGGAAGUGCACUGGAUACUGGAUAACUAGAGGGCGAUAGAGGAGAUCGGAAUUAAUGGUGUAGGGGUGAAAUCCGUAGAUAUCAUUAGGAACACCGAAAGCGAAGGCUGAUCUCUGGGUCGCAACUGACGCUAAGACUCGAAAGCAUGGGUAGCAAACAGGAUUAGAUACCCUGGUAGUCCAUGCCCUAAACGAUGGAUAUUAGCCGUUGGAAUACCUAAUUGUUUCAGUGGCGAAGCAAACGCGUUAAAUAUCCCGCCUGGGAAGUACGGUCGCAAGAUUA
RNAcentral lists this ribosomal RNA (372 nucleotides) under uncultured organism. RNAcentral's name for it is "bacterial SSU rRNA". It matches the Rfam family "Bacterial small subunit ribosomal RNA", at positions 526 to 896 of the family's 1533-position model. The record is from RNAcentral.